GGAGGUUGUGCCCUUGAGGCGUGGCUUCCGGAGCUAACGCGUUAAAUCGACCGCCUGGGGAGUACGGCCGCAAGGUUAAAACUCAAAUGAAUUGACGGGGGCCCGCACAAGCGGUGGAGCAUGUGGUUUAAUUCGAUGCAACGCGAAGAACCUUACCUACUCUUGACAUCCAGAGAAUUCGCUAGAGAUAGCUUAGUGCCUUCGGGAACUCUGAGACAGGUGCUGCAUGGCUGUCGUCAGCUCGUGUUGUGAAAUGUUGGGUUAAGUCCCGCAACGAGCGCAACCCUUAUCCUUUGUUGCCAGCGAUUCGGUCGGGAACUCAAAGGAGACUGCCGGUGAUAAACCGGAGGAAGGUGGGGAUGACGUC
Molecule: ribosomal RNA, 367 nt
Filed under: Enterobacterales bacterium
Lineage: Bacteria; Pseudomonadati; Pseudomonadota; Gammaproteobacteria; Enterobacterales
Description: bacterial SSU rRNA
Rfam family: Bacterial small subunit ribosomal RNA
Source: RNAcentral